Clupea harengus (Atlantic herring) is the source of this 389-nucleotide long non-coding RNA. RefSeq lists it as uncharacterized. The record is from RefSeq and is a predicted model, not a curated record. The transcript is spliced from 2 exons. NCBI's taxonomy places the organism in Eukaryota, Metazoa, Chordata, Actinopteri, Clupeiformes, Clupeidae.
CUCCACGGGUCCUAUCACCUGCCCAGGGGCUCCAGCGCCACCCAUCGUAAGCAUUACAAAUAGCUUUCAACCUCAACCCAUUUCAGUCCAAGGAAACACAUGUGGACAGUUCAAACAUGGAUCAAACAAGAGGCAGCAAGAAGAUGAGCCUCACAUAAUUACAGAAGACUGAGAGACGGUUGGAGUGGAUAGAAGAGAAGUGAAGUGGAGAAAGAAGACUGAGAGACGGUUGGAGUGGAUAGAAGAGAAGAGAAGAGGAGAGAAGAGGGGAGCAAAGAGGAAAUGAGAGGGGAUCCCAUCACACAGGAUCUCAAACACAGGAUUCAGUUGUUUUUUCAAACUUGUCUUUGAAGUUUGUUACUGCAAGACUGAAUAAAAUAUAUCCUAUA